Molecule: long non-coding RNA, 891 nt
Organism: Mesocricetus auratus (golden hamster)
Lineage: Eukaryota; Metazoa; Chordata; Mammalia; Rodentia; Cricetidae
Exons: 3
Source: RefSeq, a predicted model, not a curated record
ACUACUUCCCCAGGACCAUGCCAUGCCUGCCUGGGCCAUGUAGUCUACUCUGAUCUUCUAGAACUGCGAGCCCCAAAUGAGAUGCUUUCUUUUAUACGUUGCCUUGGUCAUGGUAUUUUGUUGCAGCAACAGAAAAGUAACCAAGACACUUGUGAAGCAGCAAACAAACACUGCUUUCUUAGCAACCUCACCCUUGCCUCCACCAGGUGCUGCAGAUCAAACCCAGGUCCUUAUACAAGUUAGACAAACAAUGGACCACUAAGCCAUAUCUCUAGCCUUUCAGCUUUAAUGCCCUGAUUUGAAUUCUUCCUCAUUCAGAGAUCAAAUAAAUAUCACUGAAAUGUUUGAAGCAGGAGUGCGCCAUGGAGGAUGAUUGAUAACAAUAUUCACAGGUUGGAUGUAGACAAGAAAAACAAAAACAAAGCAACAGCAAAUCCAGCCAGGAGAGGAGAAACCAAAUCAGCUUUCAUUCCCACCAAACCUGUCUCAAGGUUACAAGUGGAACAGUCAGGCUCAAACCUAUUCCUUCUACUGGGAGACGGUCUCCUGUACACAUCAGGUGUGACCUACUCACCUCCGAGACCCAGCCCAGAACAGCCUGCUUCUUGACAACUGUCUGAAAUCAAACCGAGGAGACUUUGGACCUGUGUUUAGUUGCCUAGUGAUCGAUGCUGGGUGAGCUCAUUCUCUGAGGGCAUAUAGCAACAGCCACUGGAAAUCACACCUGAGGAGAAUCACUCAUUGCAUUCCUGCUGCAGUUUUUAAUCCUUCCCAGAGAACCCACAUGAUAUUCGUCUGGGUUGCAUAUCACAGGAGUUUCCAUUAUGAGGUGCAUUUGCAUAUUUUAUUUACCUGUAGUUCCUUUCCCCUGCUAAAACAAUGGCAUUCUGA